GGAAACAGAUGCUAAUACCGGAUAACAACAGAUGAUGCCUAUCAACUGUUUAAAAGAUGGUUCUGCUAUCACUCUUGGAUGGACCUGCGGUGCAUUAGCUAGUUGGUAGGGUAACGGCCUACCAAGGCGAUGAUGCAUAGCCGAGUUGAGAGACUGAUCGGCCACAUUGGGACUGAGACACGGCCAAACUCCUACGGGAGGCAGCAGCG
This 209-nucleotide ribosomal RNA is filed under the name uncultured Lactobacillus sp. Its description in RNAcentral is "partial 16S ribosomal RNA". It matches the Rfam family "Bacterial small subunit ribosomal RNA", at positions 152 to 356 of the family's 1533-position model. The record is from RNAcentral. Lineage: Bacteria; Bacillati; Bacillota; Bacilli; Lactobacillales; Lactobacillaceae.